Molecule: long non-coding RNA, 360 nt
Filed under: Androctonus crassicauda
Lineage: Eukaryota; Metazoa; Arthropoda; Arachnida; Scorpiones; Buthidae
Source: RNAcentral
GCUUUUACCCCAGUCACCCUCCACCCUGCUUUUACCCCAGCCACCCAUCUAGGCGCCGAUCGCGUCGGAUCGCCAAGUUGACUGAGAGCCUGGCGCAAGUUUGCGUCGAUCCCGUCGGAUCGCCGUCAUGGGAUCUAGUCAAAACGACGCUAGCGUGGCCGAGAAUCCAAGUUUGGGAGAAACCUGCUUUUACUCCAGUCACCCUCCAAGACGCAGAUCCUGUCGGAUCGCCGCCAAGUUGACCGCGAACCUAAGUUUACGCCGAUCCCGUCGGGUCGCCGCCAAGUUGACCGAGAACCCAAGUUUGGGAGAAGCCUGCUUUUACCCCAGCCACUCUCCAAGGCGCGGAUCCAGUCAGAU